UUAACUUCUUCCCUUACUCUUCACAAUGUGCUUCUGGUUCCUUCCUUUAAACACAACUUGAUUUCUGUUCACAAGUUGAUAAAACAAUUGCACUGUAUAUUUUUGUUUACUCCAACUUCCUGUUUACUUCACAUGAUACAAAACCCUUCUCUGAAGAGGCCCCUGGAUCUUGGUAAAGAGGAAGCUGGCCUAUACAAACUGUCUUGGGUGCCAUCUUCCCCCUCU
RNAcentral lists this long non-coding RNA (225 nucleotides) under Nicotiana benthamiana. RNAcentral's name for it is "long non-coding RNA (NBEN_LNC013531)". The record is from RNAcentral. Lineage: Eukaryota; Viridiplantae; Streptophyta; Magnoliopsida; Solanales; Solanaceae.